This 615-nucleotide ribosomal RNA is filed under the name uncultured bacterium. Its description in RNAcentral is "bacterial SSU rRNA". It matches the Rfam family "Bacterial small subunit ribosomal RNA", at positions 338 to 945 of the family's 1533-position model. The record is from RNAcentral.
CCUACGGGAGGCAGCAGUGGGGAAUUUUGGACAAUGGGCGAAAGCCUGAUCCAGCAAUGCCGCGUGCAGGAAGAAGGCCUUCGGGUUGUAAACUGCUUUUGUACGGAACGAAACGGUCUGCUUUAAUACAGUGGGCUAAUGACGGUACCGUAAGAAUAAGCACCGGCUAACUACGUGCCAGCAGCCGCGGUAAUACGUAGGGCGCGAGCGUUAAUCGGAAUUACUGGGCGUAAAGCGUGCGCAGGCGGUUAUAUAAGACAGUUGUGAAAUCCCCGGGCUCAACCUGGGAAUUGCAUCUGUGACUGUAUAGCUAGAGUACGGUAGAGGGGGAUGGAAUUCCGCGUGUAGCAGUGAAAUGCGUAGAUAUGCGGAGGAACACCGAUGGCGAAGGCAAUCCCCUGGACCUGUACUGACGCUCAUGCACGAAAGCGUGGGGAGCAAACAGGAUUAGAUACCCUGGUAGUCCACGCCCUAAACGAUGUCAACUGGUUGUUGGGUGCAUUAGUACUCAGUAACGAAGCUAACGCGUGAAGUUGACCGCCUGGGGAGUAACGGCCGCAAGGUUGAAACUUAAGGAAUUGAGGCUUGAGACGNGCGAGNGACGACGAGGAGAGG